Molecule: ribosomal RNA, 231 nt
Filed under: Pycnococcus provasolii
Lineage: Eukaryota; Viridiplantae; Chlorophyta; Pseudoscourfieldiophyceae; Pseudoscourfieldiales; Pycnococcaceae
Description: partial Bacterial large subunit ribosomal RNA
Rfam family: Bacterial large subunit ribosomal RNA
Source: RNAcentral
AGUCAUUGAUGCCAUGCUUCCAGGAAAAUCUUCUAAGCUUCAGGUCACGCAAGACCGUACCGUAAUCCGACACAGGUAGUCGAGUAGAAUAUACUCAGGUGCUCGAGUGAGUCACGGCUAAGGAACUCGGCAAAUUAACCCUGUAACUUCGGGAAAAGGGGAGCCACAGCAAUGUGGCCGCAGAGAAAUGGCCCAGGCGACUGUUUAACAAAAACACAUGGCUAUGCGAAU